AGGGGAUUAGCUUAAUUGGUAAAGUAGUCGGCUUAUACCCGAUCAAAGCGGAGUCUCGAUAAGGCUCUGUUACAGGUUCGAGUCCUGUAUCCCCUACCA
This 99-nucleotide transfer RNA is filed under the name Caudoviricetes sp. RNAcentral describes it as "tRNA-Ile". It matches the Rfam family "tRNA". From Rfam's summary of the family: Transfer RNA (tRNA) molecules are approximately 80 nucleotides in length. Their secondary structure includes four short double-helical elements and three loops (D, anti-codon, and T loops). Further hydrogen bonds mediate the characteristic L-shaped molecular structure. tRNAs have two regions of fundamental functional importance: the anti-codon, which is responsible for specific mRNA codon recognition, and the 3' end, to which the tRNAs corresponding amino acid is attached (by aminoacyl-tRNA synthetases). tRNAs cope with the degeneracy of the genetic code in two manners: having more than one tRNA (with a specific anti-codon) for a particular amino acid; and 'wobble' base-pairing, i.e. permitting non-standard base-pairing at the 3rd anti-codon position. The record is from RNAcentral. Lineage: Duplodnaviria; Heunggongvirae; Uroviricota; Caudoviricetes.